AGGACGAACGCUGGCGGCGUGCUUAACACAUGCAAGUCGAGCGGAAAGGCCCUUCGGGGUACUCGAGCGGCGAACGGGUGAGUAACACGUGAGCAACCUGCCCUUAGCUCUGGGAUAGCUCCGGGAAACCGGAAUUAAUACCGGAUAUGACCUAGGCCGACAUCGGCCGUGGUGGAAAGUUUUUCGGCUAGGGAUGGACUCGCGGCCUAUCAGCUAGUUGGUGGGGUAAUGGCCUACCAAGGCGACGACGGGUAGCCGGCCUGAGAGGGCGACCGGCCACACUGGGACUGAGACACGGCCCAGACUCCUACGGGAGGCAGCAGUGGGAAUCUUGCGCAAUGGGCGAAAGCCUGACGCAGCAACGCCGCGUGAGGGAUGAAGGCCUUCGGGUUGUAAACCUCUUUCGAGCAGGGACGAUAAUGACGGUACCUGCAGAAGAAGCUCCGGCCAACUACGCGCCAGCCAGCCGC
RNAcentral lists this ribosomal RNA (470 nucleotides) under uncultured bacterium. Its description in RNAcentral is "SSU rRNA". It matches the Rfam family "Bacterial small subunit ribosomal RNA", at positions 26 to 518 of the family's 1533-position model. The record is from RNAcentral.